This 501-nucleotide ribosomal RNA is filed under the name Amplimerlinius macrurus. Its description in RNAcentral is "SSU rRNA". It matches the Rfam family "Eukaryotic small subunit ribosomal RNA", at positions 88 to 590 of the family's 1831-position model. Lineage: Eukaryota; Metazoa; Nematoda; Chromadorea; Rhabditida; Merliniidae. The record is from RNAcentral.
CGCGAAUGGCUCAUUACAACAGCUAUAAUUUACUUGAUCUUGACUUCCUACUUGGAUAACUGUGGUAAUUCUAGAGCUAAUACAUGCACCAAAGCUCCGACCUUACGGGAAGAGCGCAUUUAUUCGAACAAAACCAAGCGGCUUCGGCCGUUCGCAGUUGACUCAGAAUAACUAAGCUGAUCGCAUGGUCUUGAACCGGCGACGUGUCUUUCAAGUAUCUGCCUUAUCAACUUUCGAUGGUAGUGUAUCUGACUACCAUGGUGGUGACGGGUAACGGAGGAUAAGGGUUCGACUCCGGAGAAGGGGCCUGAGAAAUGGCCACUACGUCUAAGGAUGGCAGCAGGCGCGCAAAUUACCCACUCUCAGAAUGAGGAGGUAGUGACGAGAAAUAACGAGACCGUUCUCUACGAGGCCGGUCAUCGGAAUGGGUACAAUUUAAACCCUUUAACGAGUAUCUAUGAGAGGGCAAGUCUGGUGCCAGCAGCCGCGGUAAUUCCAGCU